This 524-nucleotide ribosomal RNA is filed under the name uncultured bacterium. RNAcentral describes it as "partial 16S ribosomal RNA". It matches the Rfam family "Bacterial small subunit ribosomal RNA", at positions 28 to 523 of the family's 1533-position model. The record is from RNAcentral.
GACGAACGCCGGCGGCGUGCCUAAUACAUGCAAGUCGAACGAAGCUGUUUUAACUGGUGCUUGCACCGACUUAAACAACUGAGUGGCGAACGGGUGAGUAACACGUGGGUAACCUGCCCCAAAGCGGGGGAUAACAUUUGGAAACAGAUGCUAAUACCGCAUAAUCACAGAAACCACAUGGUUUCUGUGUCAAAGAUGGUUUCGGCUAUCACUUUGGGAUGGACCCGCGGCGUAUUAGCUAGUUGGUAAGGUAAUGGCUUACCAAGGCAAUGAUACGUAGCCGAACUGAGAGGUUGAUCGGCCACAUUGGGACUGAGACACGGCCCAAACUCCUACGGGAGGCAGCAGUAGGGAAUCUUCCACAAUGGACGAAAGUCUGAUGGAGCAACGCCGCGUGAGUGAAGAAGGUUUUCGGAUCGUAAAACUCUGUUGUCAGAGAGGAACGUGUGCGAGAGUAACUGUUCGUGCAGUGACGGUAUCUGGCCAGAAAGCCACGGCUAACUACGUGCCAGCAGCCGCAGUAA